GGGCGUGUGGCGUAGUUGGUAGCGCGUCUGCCUUGCAAGCAGAAGGUCACUGGUUCGAUUCCUGUCAUGUCCA
Molecule: transfer RNA, 73 nt
Rfam family: tRNA
About the family: Transfer RNA (tRNA) molecules are approximately 80 nucleotides in length. Their secondary structure includes four short double-helical elements and three loops (D, anti-codon, and T loops). Further hydrogen bonds mediate the characteristic L-shaped molecular structure. tRNAs have two regions of fundamental functional importance: the anti-codon, which is responsible for specific mRNA codon recognition, and the 3' end, to which the tRNAs corresponding amino acid is attached (by aminoacyl-tRNA synthetases). tRNAs cope with the degeneracy of the genetic code in two manners: having more than one tRNA (with a specific anti-codon) for a particular amino acid; and 'wobble' base-pairing, i.e. permitting non-standard base-pairing at the 3rd anti-codon position.
Source: Rfam